UAGUAGGUAGGAUCAGGGCGUUAGCCGUGCCCUACAUCUGAAACCGGCUAUAUGCAGAGAUUAGUAACCACUGGGUAAAUCUCUAGAUGGGUAAUACCCGCUUGACUUGCGGAAAUGAAAUCACGCCGAAUCGGGUGGAUGCAGGACUAAGGUUAUCCGAAGGGAUGAUUCGAAGACCGAACCGCUGAAAGGGAUAAGGUCCGGGAGGGAGCAAUCCUAAGGCGGAACACCCACGCUAGUUCGUCAACGUGGCGGAUCUUGCUUGACUUGAAAUGGGAUUAUUCGUCUAGACUGGAACUAGUGGGGCUACUA
RNAcentral lists this signal recognition particle RNA (312 nucleotides) under Nitrososphaerota archaeon. RNAcentral's name for it is "Thaumarchaeota archaeon signal recognition particle sRNA". It matches the Rfam family "Archaeal signal recognition particle RNA". The record is from RNAcentral. Lineage: Archaea; Thermoproteati; Nitrososphaerota.